AGUACAUCCCAGUGUGACCCAGUACAUCCCAGUGUGACCCAGUAUGUCCCCCUGAACUAUUGGUGGUGCCCCAGUGCCUCCCAGUGCCUUCCCAGGAGCUCUCGUGGACCUCCUGGUGCCACCUCGAGGUUCUCAGACACUUCCCCAUCCUCUCUAAAGCCGUACCAGUAUGUCCCAGUAUGAACCAGUACAUCCCAGUAUGACCCAGUAUGUCCCCCUGGACUAUUGGUGGUGCCCCAGUGCCUACCAGUAGCUCUCGGUGCCUUCCCAGGAGCUCUCAUGGACCUCCUGGUGCCACCUCAAGGUUCUCAGCCACUUCCCCAUCCUCCUUGAAGCUGUACCAGUAUGUCCCAGUAUGACCCAGUACAUCCCAGUAUGACCCAGUACAUCCCCUGGACUAUUGGUGGUGCCCCAGUGCCUCCCAGUAGCUCCCAGUAGCUCCCAGUACCAUCCCAGAAGCUCUCAAAGCCCCACUGGUGCCACCUCGAGGUGCUCAGCUGUUUCCCCAUCCUCCCUGCUGCCAUCCCAGUUCCUCCCAGUAGCUUCCAGUGCCCUCCUGGUGCCGCUCCAGCGUCUCCCAGUAAGGUCCAGUGCCCUCCCAGUGCCCCUCGGUAUCUCCCAGUGGCCCCUCGGCCCCUCCCAGUUCCUCCCAGUCCCGUCAGAGCUGACUCACUCCCCAGUACUUCCUCAAUACUGGGCAGGGCGGCACCUCCCAGUUGUUUCCUGUCUGUCCCAGUUGCUUCCAGUCUGUCCCAGUUGCCCUCAACCCCACCCCAGCAGCUCCCAGUGCCCUCCCAGUGCCCGUCAACCCCCUCCCAGCGCCCACCAGUCCCUCCCAGCCCCAAACCAGUCCCUCCCAGCCCCCCCCAGUCCCUCCCAGUGCCCUCCCAGUUCAUCCCAGUGCCCACCAGUGGACUCAUCGGCAGCUAGGAUGCCCUUGCCGGGGGCCACGAUGCGCCGGGCGAUGUCGGCGAGCUCCUGCUUCUGCUCGGGGGUGAGCGCCGGGUACUGGUGCGGCAUGGUGGUGGCACUGGGGACGAGAUGGGGACAGCGUCAGGGGGACACCAGGGAACCCGGGGAGAACGUCGGGGACCCCAAGAACAUUGGGGACCCCAUGAGGAACCCAUGGGGACAUCGGGGAACCCCAAGAGGAACAUCAGGAACCCUACAGAGAACGUUGGGGGCCCCAUGGAGAACCUCAAGAACCUCAUGGAGAACUUUGGGGUCCCCUUGGAGAACCCAUGGGGACAUCGGGGACCCCAUGGAGAACCCAUAGGGGACAUUGGGGACCCCAAGGAGAACAUUGGGGACCCCAUGGGG
RNAcentral lists this long non-coding RNA (1320 nucleotides) under Anas platyrhynchos platyrhynchos (common mallard). Its description in RNAcentral is "lncRNA (ENSAPLG00000030099.1)". The record is from RNAcentral. Lineage: Eukaryota; Metazoa; Chordata; Aves; Anseriformes; Anatidae.